UGACCGUUGUAGUCCACACUGCAAACCAUGACACCCAUGAAUUGGGGAACAUCAUUGGGUGCCCGUGUGGCGGCCUUUUGUGCCGACCCUCGGCCCCAAUUUAUUUAUCAAUUUACGUGCCUAUUCUAUCACCCCCGGUUCCCUCUUUUGAGGUUCUUCCGGGGUUUUUUACGGGAAUAUCCUCAGCACGUUUCUUACUUCUUCACGCGAAAGCUUGGAGGUUACAGUCUCAGGGG
This 236-nucleotide ribosomal RNA is filed under the name Trypanosoma evansi. RNAcentral's name for it is "partial small subunit ribosomal RNA". Lineage: Eukaryota; Euglenozoa; Kinetoplastea; Trypanosomatida; Trypanosomatidae. The record is from RNAcentral.